Molecule: ribosomal RNA, 520 nt
Filed under: uncultured bacterium
Lineage: Bacteria
Description: bacterial SSU rRNA
Rfam family: Bacterial small subunit ribosomal RNA
Source: RNAcentral
AGGUUCGAUUCUGGCUCAGGAUGAACGCUAGCUACAGGCUUAACACAUGCAAGUCGAGGGGCAGCAUGGGAGUUGCUUGCAAUCCUGAUGGCGACCGGCGCACGGGUGAGUAACGCGUAUCCAACCUUCCCCUUAGUAGGGCAUAGCCCGGUGAAAAUCGGAUUAAUACCCUAUGUUCUUCACAGCAGACAUCUAACGUGAAGCAAAGGUUCACCGCUAAGGGAUGGGGAUGCGUCUGAUUAGGCAGUAGGCGGGGUAACGGCCCACCUAGCCUUCGAUCAGUAGGGGUUCUGAGAGGAAGGUCCCCCACAUUGGAACUGAGACACGGUCCAAACUCCUACGGGAGGCAGCAGUGAGGAAUAUUGGUCAAUGGGCGAGAGCCUGAACCAGCCAAGUAGCGUGCAAGGAUGACGGCCCUAUGGGUUGUAAACUGCUUUUAUAUGGGGAUAAAGUUCACCACGUGUGGUGUUUUGCAGGUACCAUAUGAAUAAGGACCGGCUAAUUCCGUGCCAGCAGCAGC